This 502-nucleotide ribosomal RNA is filed under the name uncultured bacterium. RNAcentral's name for it is "bacterial SSU rRNA". It matches the Rfam family "Archaeal small subunit ribosomal RNA", at positions 852 to 1353 of the family's 1478-position model. The record is from RNAcentral.
AAACUUAAAUGAAUUGGCGGGGGAGCACCACAACGGGUGGAGCUUGCGGUUUAAUUGGAUUCAACGCCGGAAAUCUUACCGGGACCGACAGCAAUAUGAAGGCCAGGCUGAAGACUUUGCCGGAUUAGCUGAGAGGUGGUGCAUGGCCGUCGUCAGUUCGUACUGUGAAGCAUCCUGUUAAGUCAGGCAACGAGCGAGACCCACGCCCACAGUUGCCAGCGUACUCUCUGGAGUGACGGGUACACUGUGGGGACCGCCGCUGCUAAAGCGGAGGAAGGAAUGGGCAACGGUAGGUCAGUAUGCCCCGAAUAUCCCGGGCUACACGCGAGCUACAAUGGUUGGUACAAUGGGUAUCUACCCCGAAAGGGGACGGGAAUCUCCUAAAACCAAUCUUAGUUCGGAUUGAGGGCUGCAACUCGCCCUCAUGAAGCUGGAAUCCGUAGUAAUCGCGUUUCAACAGAACGCGGUGAAUACGUCCCUGCUCCUUGCACACACCGCCCGU